CCCUUAGAUGUCCGGGGCCGCACGCGCGCUACACUGAAGGAAUCAGCGUGGCUUUCUCCCUGACCCGAAAGGGUUGGGAAACCCGUUGAAUCUCCUUCGUGAUAGGGAUUGGGGCUUGAAAUUGUUCCCCAUGAACGAGGAAUUCCCAGUAAGCGCGAGUCAUAAGCUCGCGUUGAUUACGUCCCUGCCCUUUGUACACACCGCCCGUCGCUACUACCGAUUGAACGGUUUAGUGAGGGCCUCGGAUUGGUCUCGGCCCGCUCUUUACCGGGCGGCGCCGUUGGUCGAGAAGACGCUCGAACUUGAUCGUUUAGAGGAAGUAGAAGUCGUAACA
This 334-nucleotide ribosomal RNA is filed under the name uncultured eukaryote. RNAcentral's name for it is "partial 18S ribosomal RNA". It matches the Rfam family "Eukaryotic small subunit ribosomal RNA", at positions 1470 to 1796 of the family's 1831-position model. The record is from RNAcentral.